RNAcentral lists this ribosomal RNA (218 nucleotides) under Megalomyrmex balzani. RNAcentral describes it as "partial large subunit ribosomal RNA". The record is from RNAcentral. Lineage: Eukaryota; Metazoa; Arthropoda; Insecta; Hymenoptera; Formicidae.
GAAUUUAAUAUAAAAUUUAUGAACUAUUAAAAAUAAAAAAAAUAUAUUAUAAAAUUUUAUAUUUAGUUGGGGGGAUUGUUAAAUUUUAUAAACUUUAAUUAAAAUAAAUAAUAUUAAUUAAUGAAUUAAGGAAGGAUAAUUUAUAAUUAUAAGAAUUAAUUACCUUAGGGAUAACAGCAUAAUAUUUUUGGAGAGAUCAUAUCGAUAAAAAUUUUUGU